Molecule: ribosomal RNA, 496 nt
Filed under: uncultured bacterium
Lineage: Bacteria
Description: partial 16S ribosomal RNA
Rfam family: Bacterial small subunit ribosomal RNA
Source: RNAcentral
AUGAACGCUGGCGGCGUGCCUAAUACAUGAAAGUCGAGCGAACAGAUAAGGAGCUUGCUCCUUUGACGUUAGCGGCGGACGGGUGAGUAACACGUGGGUAACCUACCUAUAAGACUGGGAUAACUUCGGGAAACCGGAGCUAAUACCGGAUAACAUUUGGAACCGCAUGGUUCUAAAGUGAAAGAUGGUUUUGCUAUCACUUAUAGAUGGACCCGCGCCGUAUUAGCUAGUUGGUAAGGUAACGGCUUACCAAGGCGACGAUACGUAGCCGACCUGAGAGGGUGAUCGGCCACACUGGAACUGAGACACGGUCCAGACUCCUACGGGAGGCAGCAGUAGGGAAUCUUCCGCAAUGGGCGAAAGCCUGACGGAGCAACGCCGCGUGAGUGAUGAAGGGUUUCGGCUCGUAAAACUCUGUUAUUAGGGAAGAACAAAUGUGUAAGUAACUGUGCACGUCUUGACGGUACCUAAUCAGAAAGCCACGGCUAACUACGUG